GAGGAAAUAGGCAAAGUAAGAGCAACGUAAGAAUAAGGGUUUGGGAGGAAAUCACCGUAGACAAAAUUUAGAGUUGGUGCUGAAAAUUUAAGAUAAUCAAUAGUAGAGUUUUGCUGUUGUGAGUGGAAGAUAGUUUCUUGGAGCUUACUUUCAUUUACUAUAUCGUUUAUCAUUUUUAGUUGGUUAAAUACUCUAAUUUGUAACAUCGGGAACGAGACGUUUUAUUUUAUUUUGUUGUUGAGUUAAUCAUUGGAUGAUGAUAUUUUGAUUUAGCCUUUAUAGUUGUUGAGAUAUUUGAAGUUAUGAACAUUAAUUUGAAAUUUCGUUGCGAGUA
Molecule: long non-coding RNA, 334 nt
Organism: Lathyrus oleraceus (garden pea)
Lineage: Eukaryota; Viridiplantae; Streptophyta; Magnoliopsida; Fabales; Fabaceae
Exons: 2
Source: RefSeq, a predicted model, not a curated record